CAGUCGCCACGGUAAAACGAAGGGUGCAAGCGUCACUCGGAAUUACUGGGCGUAAAGCGUGCGUAGGUGGUGGUUUAAGUCCGUUGUGAAAGCCCUGGGCUCAACCUGGGAAUUGCAGUGGAUACUGGGUCACUAGAGUGUGGUAGAGGAUAGUGGAAUUUCCGGUGUAGCAGUGAAAUGCGUAGAGAUCGGAAGGAACAUCUGUGGCGAAGGCGACUAUCUGGGCCAACACUGACACUGAGGCACGAAAGCGUGGGGAGCAAACAGGAUUAGAUACCCGCGUAGUCCCUGUCUCUUAUAC
Molecule: ribosomal RNA, 301 nt
Filed under: uncultured bacterium
Lineage: Bacteria
Description: partial 16S ribosomal RNA
Rfam family: Bacterial small subunit ribosomal RNA
Source: RNAcentral